RNAcentral lists this long non-coding RNA (238 nucleotides) under Manihot esculenta (cassava). Its description in RNAcentral is "long non-coding RNA (MESC_LNC002206)". Lineage: Eukaryota; Viridiplantae; Streptophyta; Magnoliopsida; Malpighiales; Euphorbiaceae. The record is from RNAcentral.
AACCAAGGCCUUCAAACCAUGGCCCUUCAACUACAGAGCACCGCCCACUGGUUGGGGCAGAUAAUGCAGCAACGGGGCCUUAGCACCCCCGCAAACGUGUCACCAGUGGUAGAAGAACCCCAGACCAACGAACCUCAGCCUACCUUCAACCACCCCAGAACUGUCAGCCAAGAAACCGGAGACGGGAGGAGGAGAGCCGGAGAAGAGGAAGAGCCGGAAGCUCGAGUUCAUGGAAGGA